Molecule: ribosomal RNA, 691 nt
Filed under: Salmonella enterica
Lineage: Bacteria; Pseudomonadati; Pseudomonadota; Gammaproteobacteria; Enterobacterales; Enterobacteriaceae
Also listed under: 3 other names
Description: partial 23S ribosomal RNA
Rfam family: Bacterial large subunit ribosomal RNA
Source: RNAcentral
CCCAGACAGCCAGGAUGUUGGCUUAGAAGCAGCCAUCAUUUAAAGAAAGCGUAAUAGCUCACUGGUCGAGUCGGCCUGCGCGGAAGAUGUAACGGGGCUAAACCAUGCACCGAAGCUGCGGCAGCGAACGUAUCACUUAAAGCGAUUCAGCGGGUUACGAUUGACGGAGCGAAGCGACGUCAAAGCGUAUACAAAGUCGAGUCGGUUUAAGGAUACGUUCGUUGGGUAGGGGAGCGUUCUGUAAGCCUGUGAAGGUGGCCUGUGAGGGUUGCUGGAGGUAUCAGAAGUGCGAAUGCUGACAUAAGUAACGAUAAAGCGGGUGAAAAGCCCGCUCGCCGGAAGACCAAGGGUUCCUGUCCAACGUUAAUCGGGGCAGGGUGAGUCGACCCCUAAGGCGAGGCCGAAAGGCGUAGUCGAUGGGAAACGGGUUAAUAUUCCCGUACUUGGUGUUACUGCGAAGGGGGGACGGAGAAGGCUAUGUUGGCCGGGCGACGGUUGUCCCGGUUUAAGCGUGUAGGUGUGUGUUCCAGGUAAAUCCGGUUCACUUUAACACUGAGGCGUGAUGACGAGGCACUACGGUGCUGAAGCAACAAAUGCCCUGCUUCCAGGAAAAGCCUCUAAGCAUCAGGUAACAUCAAAUCGUACCCCAAACCGACACAGGUGGUCAGGUAGAGAAUACCAAGGCGCUUGA